CAGGUCUUGGAGAGAGUCAAACAUGUCAAAGUGCGGGGAGGUACAGAGCUAACACAGGCUUUGCCGUUGGGAGAAAGGGCCACAACCUCUGCGAGCUUUUGCACUUGGAAAAAAAUCUUCCUCGAUUUGUCGGUUUAUCCGCACCAAAGCGAGAGUUAAGAGUCCGAGAUCCCUGCGCCUGACAACUUCUCUCCAGCGAACAUCUCAGCCCUGAGUAAGAGCAUCGACAUGGAUGACAAAAUCCCAAAGAAACAUGCAAUCUACGCUGUAGAAACCCAUGGAACCGAUGAUCUGAGUAAACCGCCUCCUGAUGGCAAGGAGAAGAAGUACAAGGGCCUCUGGAAGAGGAAGAAGGCAGGCCGGAAUGUGGACGAUCUCAAGAAGGAGAUUGACAUUGUAAAGCACUUUACUUUCAAAUUCUUAUUUAUGUGUUUAUUUAUUUGCUCACCUUUCUUCGAGGGGUCGGUUUCGGAUGACAGGCUAUAGCUAAGACUUACAAAUUUCACAUUUGCCACCACUGACGGCCCCCUAACCUGCCUGUCUCCAUUUAGGUGGUCUCUGAUGUUGUCACUUCUCUUUGCUUUGGUUUUAACCAACAUGGCCUACAAGGACUAAGCAGUUGUCUGUUUUAAGUAAGACAUUAUUGAUAUUACAAGAGAACUGAGUGGGGCACGCAAGCUGUGCAAGGCGCUAUAUGAGACUCUUUGGCAGGUUUUUCAUUCCAGGCUGCUCUUGCUCCAUUUUACUUUUACAGUAUAUGUGGAUUCCUUAGCUCCAUAAAAUCAUUAAGCUAGUUGUGUGAUGGAGCUCGUAAGGCGUAAGAUCGAGCGGCUCCUCUGAGAAGACUAACUAAUUAACUAAGACUAACUAACUAACUAAGACUAACUGAGAAUUAGUGACAAACAGCUAGGAGGUCAGGCAACGAAUUGGGCAGAGUAGUGAGGUGUGGCAGGAUCAGACUUCAAGGAGCAGCAUACCAAGUGAGGUAUACGGUCAUAUCGGGGCUGCACCAUGAUGUGGACUUGUGAAAUGUGACUUGUUCAAGCUACUGAGUGAGUGACCUGCAGAAAGGUGUCAGGAUCGGACCUCCAAGAGAGAGGAUCUGAAGGUUUAAUAGGGUUGGGUGCGGACUUCUGUCAAGCUGGGUCACGAUAGGAGGGGUUUGGGGGGCUUUUACUACCCCUAGAAAUGAUAAAGCACAGGCAUAACUCCCACAAACUGAACCUAAGCGCCAUUAGGUUUAAUGAAAUAACAAAUCCAGACAUGAAAAGACUGAGGUACAAACUGAAUUGCAGUUCAGUACAAGUGGCGCGUUUAUUUAAAAUCACAAAUCUUUACUCAAUAUAUCAUAAAGUUUAAAAAGCCUGGCAGAGCAAGGAGUUUAAACACCGGGGGUCUGGGGUCCUCGAAUAAACAACGCACUCAUACACCCCCCAAUUGUAAUCUUAUUACAUGCUCAGCGCACAGUAAAGCCGAUGAUUUAACAUCUAAUCGGUGCGACCGCCCGACUUGCCUGCGCGAGUCGGUCGAGUUGCUUUCACGAAUACUAGAUGAGUGUCUGUGGUAAACGGUGAUGGGCCACUGGCACGUCGUUUUCAUCUCUCUCUCUAGCCGUUGAAGUUUUCCUCCACUCCGUUUUCUGCUAUUUUCACAAACACUUUCUUUACCGUCACUCUCAGUGCCCCUCGUCACUUUACUCCUCUUUCUCUUUGGUGGAAUUGUCAAUUGGUUUAAAGCAAAAAGUCACUGUG
Polypterus senegalus (gray bichir) is the source of this 1751-nucleotide long non-coding RNA. RefSeq lists it as uncharacterized. Lineage: Eukaryota; Metazoa; Chordata; Cladistia; Polypteriformes; Polypteridae. The record is from RefSeq and is a predicted model, not a curated record. The transcript is spliced from 2 exons.